GUGCUCGCUUCAGCAGCACUAUACUAAAAUUGGAAUGAUAUGGAGAAGAUUAACCUGGCCCCUGCUCAAGGAUGACAUGCAAAUUUAUGAAGCAUUCCAUAUUUUU
Small nuclear RNA from Choloepus hoffmanni (Hoffmann's two-fingered sloth), 106 nucleotides. The record is from Ensembl. NCBI's taxonomy places the organism in Eukaryota, Metazoa, Chordata, Mammalia, Pilosa, Megalonychidae.